Molecule: long non-coding RNA, 1592 nt
Organism: Pecten maximus
Lineage: Eukaryota; Metazoa; Mollusca; Bivalvia; Pectinida; Pectinidae
Exons: 2
Source: RefSeq, a predicted model, not a curated record
ACGUGAUGAAAGACCCGUAUGUUGUAGACGCUGACAUGAAAUAAAAGAACGCAUUACCUUGACCUAUGACAUCAUAACCGAUAAAGGAGUAUUAUGUGUUAUUUCAUUACUCAGACCUCUUUGAACACACUAAAAAUUCGUUUCGAUUGAUGUUACAUAUAGCAUGUGCAUUAGAGUGUCGUCUCGUGGAGAAACGUGAUGCUAAAGAUAGCCAUCAGGGGUAUUGCACAGCAGUUACGUGGUGCGUGAAUGCCGUAACAUACACUGGCGUCGACUGGUACGGUCAGUCAAACCAAUAUUAAUCUCCGAUAUUUUAGUGCAAAUCUUCUGUGUGUUGCAGGAAUAUGAUGCGGUCGGGUAUAACGCCAACAUUGAUAGGAAGUUUAGGGAAUCCCGUACUUCCCGGAUCUGGCGACGUGAUCACGAUAGGUCCAGAGUGACAAGGCGUGCAAUGUUGAGAUGUCUUACAUCAAACCGGGCCUAUAGAGUGGUUGUGUCCCUCUUCUCUCUCAUAUACGCUCUUCAUCUGUUCUGGCUGACACACGUGUUCCUUCCCGAGGAAUUACACGGAUUUGAUUUAAUCAGUGAUGACGUCAUUGAUGAAGACGAUAUAGAAGAUAUGAUGUCGUUUGAAGACAUCAUGAAGGAACAUACUGGUGAAAUGUAUAUUAUUUGAGAGGAAGUUAAAGGCCCAGUAGUGAAGUGGAAGUCAAACACCCGUUGAUCCGUGAUCUCAAAAGUAUUACGUAGAAUCAGGGGGCCAGAUUGAAUUAUUUUCUUGCAGUGAUCGACACUUGGAACAUUUCAUGUAAACAAAAUUUGGAUGAAAAGCAAAUAUAAUGCCAUGUCGUCCAACGAGCAUAUGCCGUCUGCAAAAUCCAUUUUGGAAGGGAAUUCUCAAAAGUGUAAUGGCGUCAACGGUCAAUCCUGCCCCGGACUGUUGUUGCCAUAAACUGUACGUCAAAUUUCAUUCUGUCUCAUUUAAAAUGCUACUGACAUUACUAAACAAAGGCAGAGACAUCCAGAUUUGUAAAAUAAGACUUAAAUACUGUAUUACUACAUUGUAAGUACAUUAUGUUAUGAUAAUUUUUCAUCUGUUCAUUGUGAAACCAUGACCUCGCCGUAUUAUACAGUAACAAAGUGAUCCCUAAAUGUGUUAACUUGUGUCGUUAGAUAGCAGCUGACGGGACAUCGUCGUAUUCCUAGGAACUGGACGCCAUCCGUGUCUUAAAAAACGUCAUGUCAAAUUAGUUUUUAUUAACUGUCGUUUUGUCUGGUGGUAAGAAAUAGAUUGAACACCUAUGUUUUGUAUAUCGAAUUCCGAUGACCUUGCCGAAAAUAAAGAUAAAGUUAUACAUUGUUGUAUACAUGUUUUACUUCCAUGUGAAAGUAUCCAAAUUACGGUGUAUAAAUUAAAGAGUCUUUAUUCAAAGAACUGACCAUUUGCCUUUAAAUCGCGUUCUGUAACAAACCUCAAAUCACUUGUCAAGGUAAUACAGUAACAGGUGUACAACCACUGGUAGUCUACUCUUUACUUAUAGCACAUAAUAAUGUUAAUUCUUUAUUGAAUGUGUAAUAAAGGAUUUACUGUA